GACGAACGCUGGCGGCGUGCCUAAUACAUGCAAGUAGAACGCUGAAGAGAGGAGCUUGCUCUUCUUGGAUGAGUUGCGAACGGGUGAGUAACGCGUAGGUAACCUGCCUUGUAGCGGGGGAUAACUAUUGGAAACGAUAGCUAAUACCGCAUAACAAUGGAUGACACAUUUCAUUUAUUUGAAAGGGGCAAUUGCUCCACUACAAGAUGGACCUGCGUUGUAUUAGCUAGUAGGUGAGGUAAGGGCUCACCUAGGCGACGAUACAUAGCCGACCUGAGAGGGUGAUCGGCCACACUGGGACUGAGACACGGCCCAGACUCCUACGGGAGGCAGCAGUAGGGAAUCUUCGGCAAUGGGGGCAACCCUGACCGAGCAACGCCGCGUGAGUGAAGAAGGGUUUCGGAUCGUAAAGCUCUGUUGUAAGUCAAGAACGGGUGUGAGAGUGGAAAGUUCACACUGUGACGGUAGCUUACCAGAAAGGGACGGCUAACUACGUG
Molecule: ribosomal RNA, 497 nt
Filed under: uncultured bacterium
Lineage: Bacteria
Description: partial 16S ribosomal RNA
Rfam family: Bacterial small subunit ribosomal RNA
Source: RNAcentral